Hydra vulgaris (swiftwater hydra) is the source of this 846-nucleotide non-coding RNA. NCBI's taxonomy places the organism in Eukaryota, Metazoa, Cnidaria, Hydrozoa, Anthoathecata, Hydridae. The record is from RefSeq and is a predicted model, not a curated record.
AAGAAUAUUGUUAUACAACAGCAGCAGAAGAAGAGGAUGAAACAGAUACUUGUUUAAUGAGUGUUUCCAAAGGCGUCUUUAAAUUGAAAAAGUUACUCGAUUUUCCAUUGCCUCCACCAGUUUUCAAAUCCGUUUUAACAAAAUCAUUAAAGAGAUCCUUUGAUUUUAAUUUGUCACCUGGAUUUAUAUUUUUAAAACAAUCAAAUAUGUAUUCUGCUUUAGCUGACACUUUUUUAUCUAUAUAUACAGAGGAAUAUCGACUUCGUAUUCUGACUCACUAUCUUUGCCUAACUUCUUUUUACCUUCAAAAUCAUCUGAAAUGGAGCAAUCAAAAUUUCAUACGGGUACACCUACAUCUACGGUUUCACCUCAUACUCAAGAGUCCAAAAAAAAGAAAACAAAAGAAGAGGUACAAAAACAAUGAUUAAAACCCUUGGAGCCAAGAAGUUUGUUAAAAAUCAGUUUCCAAUGGAAGUUGGAAUAUAUGAUGUUCAAGAUGGUACCAAAGAUUCUUGAAAACCAGGAGCUUAUUAUUGCAACAAAUAAGCAACCCCAUAAUAAUUUGACAGUCAAGUAAUUAGAGACAAUUGCCGAGUAUAAAAAUUUCCUCAAAUAUUUAGAGGAUGAUUCGGUUCGACUUGAUUUGACUAUUUAAAAAUACCCUGUUGACACAGUUCAACUUAAAAGGUUCUGCUGGAAAGAUUGAUUUAUCAUCAACCAAACUAUAUGAUGUAAUAGAAGAAGUUGUAAAGAGAAGAUUUGAAAGAGUUUAAAUGCUGAUAUUAAACAGCAAAUUGGACAAUUCUGUAAAAAUGCUCUAUCGCAGAAAAAUACAAAUUAAAUGAA